AGCGAACGCUGGCGGCAGGCCUAACACAUGCAAGUCGAACGCGUGUAGCAAUACACGAGUGGCAGACGGGUGAGUAACACGUGGGAACGUACCCUUCGGUUCGGAAUAACUCAGGGAAACUUGAGCUAAUACCGGAUACGCCCUUACGGGGAAAGAUUUAUCGCCGAUGGAUCGGCCCGCGUCUGAUUAGCUAGUUGGUGAGGUAACGGCUCACCAAGGCGACGAUCAGUAGCUGGUCUGAGAGGAUGAUCAGCCACACUGGGACUGAGACACGGCCCAGACUCCUACGGGAGGCAGCAGUGGGGAAUAUUGGACAAUGGGGGAAACCCUGAUCCAGCCAUGCCGCGUGAGUGAUGAAGGCCCUAGGGUUGUAAAGCUCUUUCGGCGGGGACGAUAAUGACGGUACCCGCAGAAGAAGCCCCGGCUAACUUCGUG
This 435-nucleotide ribosomal RNA is filed under the name uncultured Methylocystis sp. RNAcentral describes it as "bacterial SSU rRNA". It matches the Rfam family "Bacterial small subunit ribosomal RNA", at positions 29 to 507 of the family's 1533-position model. The record is from RNAcentral. Lineage: Bacteria; Pseudomonadati; Pseudomonadota; Alphaproteobacteria; Hyphomicrobiales; Methylocystaceae.